GUACGGUUCGAAGUCCAAGAAACACUGGGAUGAGUUUACUAAAGACUCAGCCGACCAGUUGGAAAAGAAGUCUAAUCUGAAGACUGAUUAUGGAAGCAAGACGUCCAGCACAGGAAAAUCCAGUAGUCGUUACUUUGAAUCAAGUUCUAGGGACUUGAACACAGAGGAUGGUUACAGCAUUGAUUCCUACAGUGAUGUCCUAUCAGAUGAGAGUCAGGAGCCGUCUAUCUCAGAUCGAUAUGUUGAGAGAUUCAAACCAUUGGAUCUUGACAAAGAAUACUGUAACAAUGAGCACAUCGAAAAGGAAGGGCGUUGGGAUCCUGAAAGAAGUUAUGAUGAAUUUGAGAAAUGUAGGGAGACUACAAGUGCUAUGGGCUGUGAAUCUG
This 386-nucleotide unclassified non-coding RNA is filed under the name Hevea brasiliensis (rubber tree). Lineage: Eukaryota; Viridiplantae; Streptophyta; Magnoliopsida; Malpighiales; Euphorbiaceae. The record is from RNAcentral.